UACGUAGGGUGCAAGCGUUGUCCGGAAUUAUUGGGCGUAAAGAGCUCGUAGGCGGUCUGUCGCGUCGGCUGUGAAAACUCGGGGCUCAACCCCGAGCCUGCAGUCGAUACGGGCAGACUUGAGUGCUGUAGGGGAGACUGGAAUUCCUGGUGUAGCGGUGAAAUGCGCAGAUAUCAGGAGGAACACCGGUGGCGAAGGCGGGUCUCUGGGCCGAUACUGACGCUGAGGAGCGAAAGCGUGGGGAGCGAACAGG
This 253-nucleotide ribosomal RNA is filed under the name uncultured bacterium. RNAcentral describes it as "partial 16S ribosomal RNA". It matches the Rfam family "Bacterial small subunit ribosomal RNA", at positions 524 to 776 of the family's 1533-position model. The record is from RNAcentral.